This 1343-nucleotide ribosomal RNA is filed under the name uncultured bacterium. RNAcentral describes it as "16S ribosomal RNA". It matches the Rfam family "Bacterial small subunit ribosomal RNA", at positions 28 to 1378 of the family's 1533-position model. The record is from RNAcentral.
GACGAACGCUGGCGGCGUGCUUAACACAUGCAAGUCGAACGGAAAGGCCCUGCUUUUGUGGGGUGCUCGAGUGGCGAACGGGUGAGUAACACGUGAGUAACCUGCCCUUGACUUUGGGAUAACUUCAGGAAACUGGGGCUAAUACCGGAUAGGAGCUCCUGCGGCAUGGUGGGGGUUGGAAAGUUUCGGCGGUUGGGGAUGGACUCGCGGCUUAUCAGCUUGUUGGUGGGGUAGUGGCUUACCAAGGCUUUGACGGGUAGCCGGCCUGAGAGGGUGACCGGCCACAUUGGGACUGAGAUACGGCCCAGACUCCUACGGGAGGCAGCAGUGGGGAAUAUUGCACAAUGGGCGGAAGCCUGAUGCAGCAACGCCGCGUGCGGGAUGACGGCCUUCGGGUUGUAAACCGCUUUCGCCUGUGACGAAGCGUGAGUGACGGUAAUGGGUAAAGAAGCACCGGCUAACUACGUGCCAGCAGCCGCGGUGAUACGUAGGGUGCGAGCGUUGUCCGGAUUUAUUGGGCGUAAAGGGCUCGUAGGUGGUUGAUCGCGUCGGAGGUGUAAUCUUGGGGCUUAACCCUGAGCGUGCUUUCGAUACGGGUUGACUUGAGGAAGGUAGGGGAGAAUGGAAUUCCUGGUGGAGCGGUGGAAUGCGCAGAUAUCAGGAGGAACACCAGUGGCGAAGGCGGUUCUCUGGGCCUUUCCUGACGCUGAGGAGCGAAAGCGUGGGGAGCGAACAGGCUUAGAUACCCUGGUAGUCCACGCUGUAAACGGUGGGUACUAGGUGUGGGGUCCAUUCCACGGGUUCCGUGCCGUAGCUAACGCUUUAAGUACCCCGCCUGGGGAGUACGGCCGCAAGGCUAAAACUCAAAGGAAUUGACGGGGCCCCGCACAAGCGGCGGAGCAUGCGGAUUAAUUCGAUGCAACGCGUAGAACCUUACCUGGGUUUGACAUGGAUCGGGAGUGCUCAGAGAUGGGUGUGCCUCUUUUGGGGUCGGUUCACAGGUGGUGCAUGGCUGUCGUCAGCUCGUGUCGUGAGAUGUUGGGUUAAGUCCCGCAACGAGCGCAACCCUUGUUCACUGUUGCCAGCACGUUAUGGUGGGGACUCAGUGGAGACCGCCGGGGUCAACUCGGAGGAAGGUGGGGAUGACGUCAAGUCAUCAUGCCCCUUAUGUCCAGGGCUUCACGCAUGCUACAAUGGCUGGUACAGAGAGUGGCGAGCCUGUGAGGGUGAGCGAAUCUCGGAAAGCCGGUCUCAGUUCGGAUUGGGGUCUGCAACUCGACCUCAUGAAGUCGGAGUCGCUAGUAAUCGCAGAUCAGCAACGCUGCGGUGAAUACGUUCCCGGG